AGUGAACGCUGGCGGUAGGCCUAACACAUGCAAGUCGAACGGCAGCACAGGAGAGCUUGCUCUCUGGGUGGCGAGUGGCGGACGGGUGAGGAAUACAUCGGAAUCUACUCUGUCGUGGGGGAUAACGUAGGGAAACUUACGCUAAUACCGCAUACGACCUACGGGUGAAAGCAGGGGAUCUUCGGACCUUGCGCGAUUGAAUGAGCCGAUGUCGGAUUAGCUAGUUGGCGGGGUAAAGGCCCACCAAGGCGACGAUCCGUAGCUGGUCUGAGAGUAUGAGCAGCCACACUGGAACUGAGACACGGUCCAUACUCCUACGGGAGGCAGAAGUGGGGAAUAUUGGACAAUGGGCGCAAGCCUGAUCCAGCCGUACCGCGUGGGUGAAGAAGGCGUUCGGGUUGUAAAGCCCUUUUGCUGGGAAAGAAAUCCAGCUGGCUAAUACCCGGUUGGGAUGACGGUACCCAAAGAAUAAGCACCGGCUAACUUCGUGCCAGCCGCCGCCGUAA
RNAcentral lists this ribosomal RNA (506 nucleotides) under uncultured bacterium. RNAcentral describes it as "partial 16S ribosomal RNA". It matches the Rfam family "Bacterial small subunit ribosomal RNA", at positions 29 to 523 of the family's 1533-position model. The record is from RNAcentral.